CAGUAGCCACGGUAAUACGUAGGGUGCAAGCGUUAAUCGGAAUUACUGGGCGUAAAGCGUGCGCAGGCGGUUAUAUAAGUCAGAUGUGAAAUCCCCGGGCUCAACCUGGGAACUGCAUUUGUGACUGGCGAGCUAGAGUAUGGCAGAGGGGGGUAGAAUUCCACGUGUAGCAGUGAAAUGCGUAGAGAUGUGGAGGAAUACCGAUGGCGAAGGCAGCCCCCUGGGCCAAUACUGACGCUCAUGCACGAAAGCGUGGGGAGCAAACAGGAUUAGAUACCCCUGUAGUCCCUGUCUCUUAUAC
Molecule: ribosomal RNA, 301 nt
Filed under: uncultured bacterium
Lineage: Bacteria
Description: partial 16S ribosomal RNA
Rfam family: Bacterial small subunit ribosomal RNA
Source: RNAcentral